Molecule: transfer RNA, 73 nt
Filed under: Planctomycetales bacterium
Lineage: Bacteria; Pseudomonadati; Planctomycetota; Planctomycetia; Planctomycetales
Description: tRNA-Lys
Rfam family: tRNA
About the family: Transfer RNA (tRNA) molecules are approximately 80 nucleotides in length. Their secondary structure includes four short double-helical elements and three loops (D, anti-codon, and T loops). Further hydrogen bonds mediate the characteristic L-shaped molecular structure. tRNAs have two regions of fundamental functional importance: the anti-codon, which is responsible for specific mRNA codon recognition, and the 3' end, to which the tRNAs corresponding amino acid is attached (by aminoacyl-tRNA synthetases). tRNAs cope with the degeneracy of the genetic code in two manners: having more than one tRNA (with a specific anti-codon) for a particular amino acid; and 'wobble' base-pairing, i.e. permitting non-standard base-pairing at the 3rd anti-codon position.
Source: RNAcentral
GCCCCUUUAGCUCAAUCGGUAGAGCAACUGACUCUUAAUCAGUAGGUUGUCGGUUCGAUUCCGACAGGGGGCA